RNAcentral lists this ribosomal RNA (254 nucleotides) under uncultured bacterium. Its description in RNAcentral is "partial 16S ribosomal RNA". It matches the Rfam family "Bacterial small subunit ribosomal RNA", at positions 524 to 776 of the family's 1533-position model. The record is from RNAcentral.
UACGUAGGGUGCAAGCGUUGUCCGGAAUUAUUGGGCGUAAAGAGCUCGUAGGCGGUUUGUCGCGUCUGCUGUGAAAACUCGGGGCUUAACUCCGGGCCUGCAGUGGGUACGGGCAGACUAGAGUGCGGUAGGGGAGACUGGAAUUCCUGGUGUAGCGGUGAAAUGCGCAGAUAUCAGGAGGAACACCGGUGGCGAAGGCGGGUCUCUAGGGCCGAUACUGACGCUGAGAAGCGAAAGCGUGGGGAGCAAACAGG